This is a long non-coding RNA of Colossoma macropomum (tambaqui), 773 nucleotides long. RefSeq lists it as uncharacterized. The record is from RefSeq and is a predicted model, not a curated record. Lineage: Eukaryota; Metazoa; Chordata; Actinopteri; Characiformes; Serrasalmidae. The transcript is spliced from 4 exons.
UGCUCCCGGUCCACUAAGGUCUCAUGAGCUGUAAGUCUGCUCGCAAGCCAGCCGUCUCCACUUUGGUUAAUAUGGACGCUGCGGGGGAAAAGCCCCCCCAAUGACUACCUGGUCUGGUCCCUCUGCAGCACCUUGUACAUCAACUUCUGCUGCCUGGGCCUCAUAGCCCUCAUCUACUCCAUCAAGCUGGAAUCAGGGUUUCCAGGGCUGCAGUGAAAUCAGUGCUCCCGGUCCACUAAGGUCUCAUGAGCUGCAAGUCUGCUCGCAAGCCAGCCGUCUCCACUUUGGUUAAUAUGGACGCUGCGGGGGAAAAGCCCCCCCAAUGACUACCUGGUCUGGUCCCUCUGCAGCACCUUGUACAUCAACUUCUGCUGCCUGGGCCUCAUAGCCCUCAUCUACUCCAUCAAGCUGGAAUCAGGGUUUCCAGGGCUGCAGUGAAAUCAGUGCUCCCGGUCCACUAAGGUCUCAUGAGCUGCAAGUCUGCUCGCAAGCCAGCCGUCUCCACUUUGGUUAAUAUGGACGCUGCGGGGGAAAAGCCCCCCCAAUGACUACCUGGUCUGGUCCCUCUGCAGCACCUUGUACAUCAACUUCUGCUGCCUGGGCCUCAUAGCCCUCAUCUACUCCAUCAAGAACAGUGCAUGUGUAUACUCAGGGAGGAGCAUCUGCUGUGGCUGCUUCCUCCAAGAUUGAACACAGCUACUUACACCACUCACAUCUACUCACAUACAAACUCAGUUUGAGAACUCAACCUCUCUCAGCUCUUCCGCGCCUCA